Molecule: ribosomal RNA, 571 nt
Filed under: uncultured bacterium
Lineage: Bacteria
Description: partial 16S ribosomal RNA
Rfam family: Bacterial small subunit ribosomal RNA
Source: RNAcentral
UAAGGAAUAUUGGUCAAUGGACGCAAGUCUGAACCAGCCAUGCCGCGUGAAGGAUUAAGGUCCUCUGGAUUGUAAACUUCUUUUAUCUGGGACGAAAAAAGGCGAUUCUUCGUCACUUGACGGUACCAGAUGAAUAAGCACCGGCUAACUCCGUGCCAGCAGCCGCGGUAAUACGGAGGGUGCAAGCGUUAUCCGGAUUCACUGGGUUUAAAGGGUGCGUAGGCGGGCAGGUAAGUCAGUGGUGAAACUCUGUGAUAACUCCAGAACUGCCAUUGAUACUAUCUGUCUUGAAUAUUGUGGAGGUAAGCGGAAUAUGUCAUGUAGCGGUGAAAUGCUUAGAUAUGACAUAGAACACCUAUUGCGAAGGCAGCUUACUACGCAUAUAUUGACGCUGAGGCACGAAAGCGUGGGGAUCAAACAGGAUUAGAUACCCUGGUAGUCCACGCCCUAAACGAUGGAUACUCGACAUACGCGAUACACUGUGUGUGUCUGAGCGAAAGCAUUAAGUAUCCCCACCUGGGAAGUACGACCGCAAGGUUGAAACUUAAAGGAAUUGACGGGGUCAUAGCUG